RNAcentral lists this ribosomal RNA (253 nucleotides) under uncultured bacterium. Its description in RNAcentral is "partial 16S ribosomal RNA". It matches the Rfam family "Bacterial small subunit ribosomal RNA", at positions 524 to 776 of the family's 1533-position model. The record is from RNAcentral.
UACAGAGGUGGCAAGCGUUGUUCGGAAUUACUGGGCGUAAAGGGCGCGUAGGCGGUCGCCUAAGUCAGAUGUGAAAUCCCCGGGCUUAACCUGGGAACUGCGUUUGAAACUACAAGGCUAGAGUGUGGCAGAGGGGGGUGGAAUUCCACGUGUAGCAGUGAAAUGCGUAGAGAUGUGGAGGAACACCGAUGGCGAAGGCAGCCCCCUGGGUUAACACUGACGCUCAGGCACGAAAGCGUGGGGAGCAAACAGG